Long non-coding RNA from Siniperca chuatsi (mandarin fish), 3955 nucleotides. RefSeq lists it as uncharacterized. NCBI's taxonomy places the organism in Eukaryota, Metazoa, Chordata, Actinopteri, Centrarchiformes, Sinipercidae. The record is from RefSeq and is a predicted model, not a curated record. The transcript is spliced from 2 exons.
UCAGGACAAACAGCAACAAAAAAGGAGUUAACACACAAAAUCGAUGCACAAUGAGUUCAUUCCAUUUUCAAAUUACUUGGAUGUUGAUAUGAAGCUGCUUCACUUAUUGUUUUGGGAAAUUGGGACCUAAAUGUCUCACUGGUGCCGUGCAGUGAUGUACUGUAAACACCAUGCAGGGUUUUUUUUCUUUUUCACUUUUUAUUGCCUUGUUUCAUUGAUCAGUCCACAGUUUGUUUUACUGCUCCUUCUGAAGGACUUUUUCCAUUCUGUUUUGACGUACAAAUGAAUAUUGUCACAUGAUAAUUACAAAACAAGUAGUGCAGAAAUGAUUAGUCAAUCAUUGACUGUAAAUUAAUCAACAACAUUUUAGUAAGCGAUUAAUCAAUGACGUCAUUUGUCAAAAAUGCCAAAUAUUUAAUAGUUGCAGGUUGGUUGUGUUAUGCUUUAUAUCACUGUAAAUUGAAUCUCUCAAGGUUUUUGAGUGCUGUCAGGUCAAAACAAGCAACAAGUUGAAGAUGUCACCUUAAAAGGUUCUGUAUGAGAUUCUGAACAUAUAAUAUAAUAUAGCAGCAAACAACUAUUUGCUAUAUAAAGAUAUAGUGGAGUAAAGAAGUCACACCCCCUCUGCCUGUGUUGUUAUCGCAGCCUGUCUGUGCUUUGUUUAUACAGCCACGCGUGCAUGUUAGUGCACGUAAGUCCCUCGUGUGAAACUGUUCGUCUGUGAGGAGAGCUGUUUUUCCCCCUAAUCUAACACUGUGAAUUACGGAUUUAUUAUGGCCAAACCAGAGUUGAUGAUUGUUGGAACAGUGGAAAAACUAUCAAAGUCGGUUUUGAGCUGACACUGUUCCAGCAGCCAGGAUUUUCCUAAGAACUGGUCACAUCCCAACACGUCCUGAUGGGAGAGUCCCACAGUCAGUACCUCUUUCAAGACGCGUCAUGGCUGAAAUUAACCCAAAGCUGAUGAGAUGAAGAAAAGAUUCUGCUCCGUAUGCAAUAACCAAUUGCACCCAAAAGGACGAGAACUAGGGCUGCAACUAACAAUUAUUGUUAUUUUUCCAAUUAAAAAAAAAAAUAAAUAAAUAAAAAAAUCAAUCAAUUGUUUAGUCUAUUAAAAAAAAUGUAAAAAACAAAACUAAUUGUGAAAAAUGUCCAUCACAAUUUCCUAGAGCCCAAAAUGACAUUUUAAAAUAGCUUUUUUGGGUGCCCUGGUGGUCUCCUUAAGGCGCCCCUCAUUUACUGACACAUCUCCACUGUUCACUAUCAAAUAAAAAAAAGGCAUAAAACACCUAAAAAAUUAUUUAAAGAAGCACUUUUUAGUCCGAUCAAAAGUCCAAAAGCCAAAUAUAUUCAGGUUACACUGAUAUAAAAAACAGAAAAGCAGCAAAUCCUCACAUUAAAGAAGCUAGAACCAGUAAAGGUUUCACAUUUUUGCUUAAUAAAUGACUUCUCUUACCUAUUUUCCAUAACUGUUGCCAAUCAAAUUCUCAUGUGAUUAUCGAUAAAUUAUUUCCGCACUAAAGCUGGUAGUUGUUGAUAGGGCUGGGUUAAAUGAACGCAAGCUAAUAUGAUAUAAAAAGGAAAUAUACACGGCAAUAAGAGCUGAAAUGAUUAGACGAUUAAUCAAUUAGUUGAUGGACAAAAAAAAAAAAAUUCAUCUGCAACAAUUUUGAUAAUUUAGCAGAAAUGCUAAAAAUGUCAAUUUUUGCUGGUUGUCAAUUCUUCUUUAAUAAUAAAUGGAACAUUUUUGGAUCUUGGUCGGUUGGUUGGAGAAAGCAAGCAAUGUGAAGUCACCUUGGGCUCAGGGAAAUUAUGUGCAUUUUUCACUAUUCUGGACUAUUGUCUUUAUGUACCAGACUUUAAAUCAAGAAAAUAACCGUUAUAUUGACUGAUAAUUAAAUUCAUCAUUAGUUGCAGCUCUAAUGACAAUAUGGCAAAGUAUGCAAAAUCACAUAAUAUAAAAAUAGUAAAAUUUUGACGUCAAGUGUAAUGUAAUGAGUUUUACAUUGAAUAUUAGAGACAAAACUCUUCAGACAUGUUAAACAAAAACUUCACCGACUCAUUUUGUUGUUUUGAUUUUAAAAUUAGUUUAAAUCAUUCAUUUAUAUAUCAAAAUUUUGUAACAUGAUGUGAUCAUUUCAUCACAAUAUGAUUUCAUUAAUAAUCGAAAAGUUGAUAUUAAAUUUUUGCCCAGCUAAAGUCGUUUACAGCAGAUGAAAACUGGCAAUACACAACACAUGCGUACACACACACACAAGCAGUGCCACCACAACUGUGUUUGGGAAUCCAUUUCCCUCACAUUACCGCUCUGUCACACACACACACACACGCACGCACACGCUGACAGUAUUUGUCCUUCGGAGACUCCAGUCUGUUUUAAAUCCCCUCUUUAUCUAAUUACUUUCCGCCAGCUUAUUAUCAUCAUAUCUCAUGCAACCACUCACACACACAUAUACACACACACACACACACACACACACUCACACAGUAUGAUAAUUACCAUGAUGACUAGUUUUGCUAUGGCGAAAUUCUCAUUAUGUGACUCAUGGAAAUGUAGGUUAUAUGAAUUUCAGUUUUACCUCCCACUUCUUGCAACAGUUACCAAGAAACAUUUGUAUCAGCUCUGAAAUGAUCAAGAAUACGGAGCGACCAGACAAUGAGACCAUUUAAACCUAUGAACCAGGGUGUGACCAGGCUGACAGAUACUGAAGACUGAAGCAGCAGAUUCUUACGUUUCUUUCUAGAUAUUAAAAACUCAGUGUUUCACUUAAAGGUUUUGUUAGCAGGGUGGAAACAGGACAGUAAAACUACAUUUAUUCAUUUGUAACAGACCAUGUGUAAUAUUAAAUGUAAAUGUUACCAUUUGAUUUAUUGUACCCGAGUUAUUAAAAAUAUAUACAUACAAUAUUUUGAAGAAAUAGUUUUAUAUGUUGUUAGCUUUCUUGCUGAGAGUUCAAGAUUGAUUCUAAAUUACUCUCAUGUCUGUAAAUAUGACGCUGCAGUUAGCAGUUAGCUUACUGUAGCUGACACAAAGACUGGAAACAAGGGAAAAUGGCUAACCUGACUUUGGCCAAAAGGUAACUUCUGGCACAUAACCCCAUCAUCAAAACGUUUUUUGUACAGAUUAAGCAAACAAGAUAAUACUGUGUUAAUUAGUGAGCUUUACAGGUGCAGGGACGUGAGCUAAGCAACUGCUGGCUAUAGCUUCAGAUUUAGCAUACAGACAUAAAAAUGGUAUCCAUCUCAUUUAACUCCCAACAAGAAAGUGAGCGUUUUUCCCCAAAAUGUUGAACCAUUUCUUUGAAACACAAAAAUCGUGACGGUGUGGUAAAACAUUAGCAAUUAGCAACAUGGGACAAGUCAGUCUGGUAUUCUGUGGAAGCUUUUGAAAACAAUGCCAUGAGAUUUCCAUGUCUCAUGUAAAUUAUGGAGAAAGGCCAAAUGAGAACCAAAUCUGCUAAGAAGCCUGUUCUGCGUUUCUGUGUUCUUAGACGGCAGGUGUUAUCUGUAUUAGCAAAUAUACAGAACAGAAACAGCUGGAAAAUGACACAGUAGCACUAAUGCAAUUAGAUCCAACUUGUUUGUUUUAAAAACCAUGCAGCCCUGAGAAAAUAAAUAAUUACUUCCUGAACCGAUGAGUGAUGGCACAAUGUCUUUGUGAUUGAGGGGUUUUAUUGUUUUCAAGCCUUCAUUUCAAAUUUGAGGCUGAUGGGGUCAAAACAAAAACAGAGUCUUGCACAAGGCCAAAGCUGGUGACACACACACACACACACACAGACACAAGGAACCUUUCUUUUCCUUUGGAGAAUAUGAAAGGAAGAUGAAAACCAGCACCUGAAGGAUUUGUCUCGACACGUCUGCUCCCUUCCUUUCUCCCGCUUUUUUGUCUUGCUCUUAUUUUUUUUUUUAUUUUUUUUUUUCGGGCUGAACAACACUGGAGAGGGGCAUGGCUGCCUGU